GACGAACGCUGGCGGCGUGCUUAACACAUGCAAGUGGAGCGACGAACCAGGCUUCGGCCUGGGGCAGAGCCGCGAACGGGUGAGUAACACGUGGGUAACCUGCCUCGAUGACCGGGACAACCCGGGGAAACCCGGGCUAAUACCGGAUGUGCUGCCUUCACAUCAGUGGAGACAGGAAAGGAAGCUUCGGCCUCCGCAUCGAGAUGGGCCCGCGGCCCAUUAGCUUGUUGGGAGGUAAUGGCUCACCAAGGCCGCGAUGGGUAGCUGGUCUGAGAGGACGAUCAGCCACACUGGGACUGAGACACGGCCCAGACUCCUACGGGAGGCAGCAGUGGGGAAUCUUGCGCAAUGCGCGAAAGCGUGACGCAGCAACGCCGC
RNAcentral lists this ribosomal RNA (378 nucleotides) under uncultured bacterium. RNAcentral describes it as "bacterial SSU rRNA". It matches the Rfam family "Bacterial small subunit ribosomal RNA", at positions 28 to 400 of the family's 1533-position model. The record is from RNAcentral.